AUUGAACGCUGGCGGCAUGCUUUACACAUGCAAGUCGAACGGCAGCGCGGGCUUCGGCCUGGCGGCGAGUGGCGAACGGGUGAGUUAUACAUCGGAACGUGCCCAGUAGUGGGGGAUAGCUCGGCGAAAGCCGGAUUAAUACCGCAUACGACCUGAGGGUGAAAGCGGGGGAUCUUCGGACCUCGCGCUAUUGGAGCGGCCGAUGGCAGAUUAGCUAGUUGGUGGGGUAAAGGCCUACCAAGGCGACGAUCUGUAGCUGGUCUGAGAGGACGACCAGCCACACUGGGACUGAGACACGGCCCAGACUCCUACGGGAGGCAGCAGUGGGGAAUUUUGGACAAUGGGCGAAAGCCUGAUCCAGCAAUGCCGCGUGUGUGAUGAAGGCCUUCGGGUUGUAAAGCACUUUUGGCGGGAACGAAAAGGACUGUGCCAAUACCACGGUUCGAUGACGGUACCCGCAGAAUAAGCACCGGCUAACUACGUG
RNAcentral lists this ribosomal RNA (484 nucleotides) under uncultured bacterium. RNAcentral describes it as "partial 16S ribosomal RNA". It matches the Rfam family "Bacterial small subunit ribosomal RNA", at positions 29 to 507 of the family's 1533-position model. The record is from RNAcentral.